RNAcentral lists this ribosomal RNA (470 nucleotides) under uncultured bacterium. RNAcentral describes it as "bacterial SSU rRNA". It matches the Rfam family "Bacterial small subunit ribosomal RNA", at positions 28 to 512 of the family's 1533-position model. The record is from RNAcentral.
GACGAACGCUGGCGGCGUGCUUAACACAUGCAAGUCGAACGGUGAACCGGGCUUCGGCCCGGGGAUCAGUGGCGAACGGGUGCGUAACACGUGGGCAGCCUGCCCCAGACUCUGGGAUAACUCCGGGAAACCGGGGCUAAUACCGGAUACUCUCGACCGACCGCAUGACUGGUCGAGGAAAGCUCCGACGGUCUGGGAUGGGCCCGCGGCCUAUCAGCUUGUUGGUGGGGUAACGCCUACCAAGGCGACGACGGGUAGCUGGUCUGAGAGGACGGCCAGCCACACUGGAACUGAGACACGGUCCAGACUCCUACGGGAGGCAGCAGUGGGGAAUCUUGCACAAUGGGCGAAAGCCUGAUGCAGCGACGCCGCGUGGGGAUGAAGGCCCUCGGGUUGUAAACCUCUUUCGGCAGGGACGAAGCGAAAGUGACGGUACCUGCAGAAGAAGUCCCGGCUAACUACGUGCCAGC